GGAUACUUGAGGAUAAAUAACUACUCGUCCCCGGAUAGUUUAGAACAGGAAGUUGAAGGCCUCGGUAUGCACACUGAUAUGAGCUGCAUAACAAUUGUCUAUCAAGAUGAAUUAGGUGGCCUCCAAGUAAGAUCAAAGGAUGGGAAGUGGGUGGAUAUUUUGCCAUGUGAAGGAACUCUUGUGGUAAAUAUUGGUGACAUGCUGCAAGCUUGGAGCAAUGACAAACUACGAUCCUCUGAGCACCGUGUCAUUCUGAAGAAGCCGGUGAACCGCUUUUCUUUAGUUUUCUUUUGGUGCUUUGAGGAUGAGAAGGUG
RNAcentral lists this unclassified non-coding RNA (315 nucleotides) under Hevea brasiliensis (rubber tree). Lineage: Eukaryota; Viridiplantae; Streptophyta; Magnoliopsida; Malpighiales; Euphorbiaceae. The record is from RNAcentral.